UGAGCAAUUCCAUCAGUGCAACAGCAGACUGGGCAUUGCAUCUGAAAUUAAUUUGGCACCUCACAAAGCUAGAGAAGAGAGUCAAUUCUAUGUGGUAAAGGAACAAUUGCAAUCAAUGGUUAAAAGCCACUUGAAAAGCUUGUCUCAGGACAUUGAAUUAGGCCCUGAUACUUUCAAGGAAAUUGCAAGGAGUUCUACGCAUACCAUCUUAGCUGGUUGUGGUCUUGAGCACAAGAGGAGUGAAGUCCAAUUUAUGCCCCCACCAUCAAUUUGCACCCAUGGUGAGAGGAUGGCUGCUGGACAGACAAGUAUGAUGAAAGGUUUUUGCUCAUCUUGUUUUGAUUCUUUUGUAAGGGACGUAGUGAAGAGGAUCAUGGACACAAGACUGCCACAGUGGUUAAGUUUAGGUCUUUAAUCUUUGACGAAGGAGUGUUUUUUUGGCGCUCUCUUUUUCGUUAGGAGUUUAGGCAAACAUUUAUCGUUAAUUUGUUUAUAGAUAUCAUAUAAUUUACUGACCUCGAGCAUUGAAGGGCUCUAUUCUUAUUUGACAC
Molecule: unclassified non-coding RNA, 551 nt
Filed under: Hevea brasiliensis (rubber tree)
Lineage: Eukaryota; Viridiplantae; Streptophyta; Magnoliopsida; Malpighiales; Euphorbiaceae
Source: RNAcentral